CCUACGGGUGGCAGCAGUGGGGGAUAUUGGUCAAUGGGGGAAACCCUGAACCAGCAACGCCGCGUGAGGGAAGACGGCCUUCGGGUUGUAAACCUAAGUGAUCAGGGAUGAAACAAAUGACAGUACCUGAAAAGCAAGCUCCGGCUAACUACGUGCCAGCAGCCGCGGUAAUACGUAGGGAGCAAGCGUUGUCCGGAUUUACUGGGUGUAAAGGGUGCGUAGGCGGGAACACAAGUCAGGCGUGAAAUACCGGGGCUCAACUCCGGGGCUGCGCUUGAAACUGUGUUUCUUGAGUGAAGUAGAGGCAGGCGGAAUUCCUAGUGUAGCGGUGGAAUGCGUAGAUAUUAGGAGGAACACCGAUUGCGAAGGCAGCAUACCGGCGCCCUACUGACGCUGAGGCACGAAAGCGUGGGUAUCGAACAGGAUUAGAUACCCCUGUAGUC
This 443-nucleotide ribosomal RNA is filed under the name uncultured bacterium. Its description in RNAcentral is "partial 16S ribosomal RNA". It matches the Rfam family "Bacterial small subunit ribosomal RNA", at positions 338 to 795 of the family's 1533-position model. The record is from RNAcentral.